This 340-nucleotide ribosomal RNA is filed under the name uncultured bacterium. Its description in RNAcentral is "bacterial SSU rRNA". It matches the Rfam family "Bacterial small subunit ribosomal RNA", at positions 28 to 334 of the family's 1533-position model. The record is from RNAcentral.
GAUGAACGCUGGCGGCAUGCCUAAGACAUGCAAGUCGAACGAGAUGGCCCAUUGAAGAUUGAGUGCUUGCACAAUUUCUGAUUUGGAUUUUCCAUCUAGUGGCGGACGGGUGAGUAACACGUGGGUGACCUACCUUUGAGUUUGGGAUAACUACUGGAAACGGUAGCUAAUACCGAAUAACAUACAGUUUCAUUUCUGUAUUAAAAGGCGCUUUACAGCGUCGCUCUUAGAUGGGCCUGCGGCGUAUUAGCUAGUUGGUGAGGUAACGGCUCACCAAGGCAACGAUGCGUAGCCGGACUGAGAGGUUGAUCGGCCACAUUGGGACUGAGACACGGCCCAA